CGCGCGCUGUCCCCCGGAGGCGUCUGGGUGUGCGGAGCGCGCGCGCGCGGCUUGGAGGCGCACCUGUGAGGUGUCCCUUGAGGAGAGGGAGGGUGGGUGCGCGGAGUCCGCGGCCUGGGGCGCUUCAACCCCUCACUUGGAAGCGCCUCGCGUUCCAGCAGAGCCAGCCGAGCAUCCUACUCAGGUGAUGAGGAACCCUCCCGGCACCCAGCGCAGAUCGCUGCUGGCGCUGGACGCCUCCAUUGUUUGACCAUAACAAGGGCCGGAUUCUCAACCCAGCAGGAUCCCGAGGCUUUUGUUGCCCUUCAGCCACUGUGGGCCCUGCCUCUGCCUCUUCUUCUGGAAUGUCUUGGGGGUUUUGACUUCUGUCACUGUGCUCCAGAAGCAACAUUUUCCCUUCUGAAGUUCCAAGUGGAGUGCGUUUUCCUUCGUGUGCCUUUUAUGCAGGACAGCUGCUUCUCAUACUCACAUACCUGCAAAUCCAAGAGACACGUCUCUCUGGAAGAUAAGAGCUCCUUCCUCAAGAUCAAAAAAGGAGACUGCCGGAGUGACACCUGCGUAGGGAAUCCUCACGAGGAAGGACUGACACACCUGGACCCAAGGCGCUGGCUUCCCGGGAGGCUCCUGUCUGAUGUGCAGGAGGCAGGAUGUCAUUGUGACUCUGCAAGGGGAGGCUCCUGGUGACCGAGACCAGCACGCAGUAUCACACCCUUGGCUGCAGGGGACACAGUGCAGACCUUUUCCUGCAACUGAGAAGUACGAGAUUAUUCUGCAAGAGGAAGAUUCCAGGGGCUUAAAAACGCAAAGGUUUCUACCUUGGGAGCCCCUUGGAAUGUUGGCAGCUCAGGAUCUCAAAGAAAGUUCUGUGUUAACGAGUUACAGAGUCCACGCGGAAGUAAAUGUCACUUUCUAAUCAAUAAUAAUACCGAGUGAGGAGCACUAUGCAGGGAGGAACCUUCCAUAGAAAGACAGGCAGGGGAGAGCUUAGGCCGGCCUCGAACCUCCCGAGCAGAGCCAGCCUGAGAUAAGCACCAAAAUGGCCAAGUGAGAGACUCUGUGAAAUAGCAGCCCUGUAACUGUAGUAGUUGUGAGGAAAUCUUCUCCGCUAAAU
Molecule: long non-coding RNA, 1111 nt
Filed under: Phocoena sinus (vaquita)
Lineage: Eukaryota; Metazoa; Chordata; Mammalia; Artiodactyla; Phocoenidae
Description: lncRNA (ENSPSNG00000014502.1)
Source: RNAcentral